Molecule: ribosomal RNA, 270 nt
Filed under: uncultured archaeon
Lineage: Archaea
Description: partial 16S ribosomal RNA
Rfam family: Archaeal small subunit ribosomal RNA
Source: RNAcentral
CAGCACCUCAAGUGGUCAGGAUGAUUAUUGGGCCUAAAGCAUCCGUAGCCGGCGCUGUAAGUUUUCGGUUAAAUCUGUACGCUCAACGUACAGGCUGCCGGGAAUACUGCAGCGCUAGGGAGUGGGAGAGGUAGACGGUACUCGGUAGGAAGGGGUAAAAUCCUUUGAUCUAUUGAUGACCACCUGUGGCGAAGGCGGUCUACCAGAACACGUCCGACGGUGAGGGAUGAAAGCUGGGGGAGCAAACUGGAUUAGAUACCCGAGUAGUCC